This is a long non-coding RNA of Ictalurus punctatus (channel catfish), 455 nucleotides long. The record is from Ensembl. NCBI's taxonomy places the organism in Eukaryota, Metazoa, Chordata, Actinopteri, Siluriformes, Ictaluridae.
UUUUUUUCACAUGACUGUAGGUGGAAAGCCGACGAGUAAGAUAGACCGGUUGAGUGUAGAUUGGUAGUUUGGUGUGUAGAGUAGGAGUAAUAGACGGGUUGAGUAUAGUGGGGUAUGUUGGAGUGUGGAUGAGAACCAGUAUAGACGGAUUGGGUAUAGUGGGUAUGUUGGAGUGUGGAUGAGAACCAGUAUAGACGGGUUGAGUAUAGUGGGGUAUGUUGGAGUGUGGAUGAGAAUCAGUACAGACGGGUUGAGUAUAGUGGGGUAUGUUGGAUUGUGGAUGAGAACCAGUAUAGACGGGUUGAGUAUAGUGGGGUAUGUUGGAGUGUGGAUGAGAACCAGUAUAGACGGGUUGAGUAUAGUGGGGUAUGUUGGAGUGUGGAUGAGAACCAGUAUAGACGGGUUGAGUAUAGGUGGAAGGUAGAAUGAGUAAGAUACACGAGAUGAGUCGGUAG